UUGACAGGUAAAUAAACCAAGUCUUCAAAAUGUGAAAGACUUGCCCAAAUACACGAAUGAGAUUGGCAUGGUAUGGAUGGAAGUGAAGAAAAAUGUUCCAGGAACAUGGAUGGAGCUGAAGGCCAUUGCCCUAAGCAAACUAACACCAGAACAGAAAACCAAAUACUGCAUCUUCUUAUUUGUAAGUGGGAGCUAAACAUCAACUGCAUAGGGAC
Molecule: long non-coding RNA, 215 nt
Organism: Symphalangus syndactylus (siamang)
Lineage: Eukaryota; Metazoa; Chordata; Mammalia; Primates; Hylobatidae
Source: RefSeq, a predicted model, not a curated record